AGUGUCAUGACAGGAACUUCCAAGAAUUCUCUGCCACUUCAAUGCUCCCAGGGACUGGCAACCCUACAGGGACAUAAAAGAGACAAGGAAAUAUAAACUGAAUGCAAUAUGAAUCCCCACAGAGGAUCUGAUCUUGUUUCGACACGUUGAAAACAGAACAAGUUGUGGUGGAAGGUGGCAAAACCAUCAUAUUUGAAGAGACAAGAUAUCUUGAAAAUGGCCCUGUCUGAGAGACAGUCUAAAAAUAGUUUACUUGAGAUUGGAACAGAGAACUCCAAGGACCCUGAACGCAUUGGUUAUGGCAUAAUCAACCAUAGGGAAGAGUCUAUUAUUAAGUAAUUUUCCAGCCCAACUCAAUGUUUUAAACAUUAAAGUUCUACACAACUCACAGUUCCAUUCGGGGCGGGGUGGGGGAUGAAAGGGCUUGAUGGAGUGGCUUGGCCUUGCACUGGAGCGUUUGUCCUCCCCAGGGCAAUUAACCUGGUGGAGAAAGUGCUGGUGGCGACCCGCCUCUCAGACACACCUCUACACAACCCAGAAGUCUGAUGCCAGCAUGGGGGGGGGGCGUUCCUAGGAGUGGAGCUGACAUUACUCCUAUCCAGGAUUUAGGGCUGAGAGCAUGAAGCCCCAGUCCAGUGAUGGCAAACCUAUGGCACUCCAGAUGUUCAUGGACUACAAUCGCCACCACUGCCUAAGUCCUAUGGAGGGCUUUCCAGUGGUGGUGGUUUCAUUUUUUUGCUUCCCACGCUGCUGGAAAGCCCUCUUGAAAAUGGCAGGGUGGCACUGCAUCCCACAACCAAGGGCUUUGGAUGGGGCUACUUAUUACCUCAGGGAACACUGUUGCUGAUGUGAAUGUACUAUUCUGGUUCAUUUGCUAUGCUGAUUCACUGACCUAAAAGGUCUCAGUUGCUCCUGCGGUGCUUCAUGCAUUUUUCUAAAAAAUCAAAUCCUCUCAAAUCUCAUCUUCACAGUAUAUGCCAUUCUUGUUUUAACCUCAAAUAAAAGAAAUUUUCUCUGGAAGAGUAAUUCUGUAUAAAGACCUGAAUUUGGAGGAGAGAAGUUAGGGUUCUGACCAGAAGUUAGGGAGCUACCAGGGAGCAGGGGCAGGUGCGCAUUGCACCGGGCGAGCGCCCCGGGGGGGAGGGGGUCACCUCCCGCCCCACAGUUACCUUAGUUCAGCC
This is a long non-coding RNA of Sphaerodactylus townsendi, 1181 nucleotides long. RefSeq lists it as uncharacterized. The transcript has 3 exons. Lineage: Eukaryota; Metazoa; Chordata; Lepidosauria; Squamata; Sphaerodactylidae. The record is from RefSeq and is a predicted model, not a curated record.